This 253-nucleotide ribosomal RNA is filed under the name uncultured bacterium. RNAcentral's name for it is "partial 16S ribosomal RNA". It matches the Rfam family "Bacterial small subunit ribosomal RNA", at positions 524 to 776 of the family's 1533-position model. The record is from RNAcentral.
UACGAAGGGGGCUAGCGUUGUUCGGAAUUACUGGGCGUAAAGCGCGCGCAGGCGGCUUGGUAAGUUGGGGGUGAAAUCCCUGGGCUCAACCCAGGAAUGGCCUUCAAGACUGCUUGGCUGGAGGACGAGAGAGGUGAGUGGAAUUCCCAGUGUAGAGGUGAAAUUCGUAGAUAUUCGCAAGAACACCAGUGGCGAAGGCGGCUCACUGGCCCGAUACUGACGCUGAGGUGCGAAAGCGUGGGGAGCAAACAGG